RNAcentral lists this small RNA (2470 nucleotides) under Pongo abelii (Sumatran orangutan). RNAcentral's name for it is "processed transcript". Lineage: Eukaryota; Metazoa; Chordata; Mammalia; Primates; Hominidae. The record is from RNAcentral.
CCUUUCAGCUUUGCUGUCUGCAGAUGGCUUGAGUGCUAAUCAGCUCAAUGGACCCUCUGCCUUAUCACAAGGGCAGAGGGCCAGUGUGACAGCCUUCUGUAUCCCGAGCUAUUGCCCAGUGUCCCAGAAGAAUUGGAUCACAUGUGGGCUUGAAGGAUGAAUGCAAGGUCCACAGCGUCCAAUUCAUGGAGUUCUCGGAAGUGGAGAAUCAGGAUGACUACUACAGCACAGAAGCUGGCUGUAUCCACACCCAGGACCAGCAAGGGGUGCAUGUCAUGUAUGAGGAAGCCUUGAGUGAUCUCAAGGAACUAGAGGCAGAGCUGCUGCUUGUGGCUAGCCAUUACAUUGAGAAAGAAAGGGGUCACAAAGUGGGCAGCCAGCCAAAGAGUGGCCAGGACUGGGGAUGGGCCCAUGCAGGUGUGGACAGAUUUGCUGUGCUGUAUGACACGUGGACUUGGGAAGCAGCUCUUCUGGAAAACAAGCACCAGCUUCUUGACAGUUACUUUGAAGCCUACCAGCACACGUUGGACCCUGAGGAGAGGUUUGCCUUAGCACAAGUGAUGACGGACAUCGUGCACCGGCGCCCAAGGUUUGAUCUCAGCCACCCCUAUUUCAUUAAGGCCUACGGAGAGGAAUGCACCUGCCUGAGGCUUCACCUGCAGUUAGUGAGGGGCAUCCUCAACCAGCAGAUAGAACGUCAGCGGGAGUAUGUCCAGAGGCUUUGGCGAGAGGAUCAUCUGGACAAUAGCAAUACAUUUGGACUUCCCCUUAAUAUAGUUUGCAAACAACUUAUUUCCAUCAACAAUAGCUGCCCAGCUUCAAAAAAUGUUUAUCUGCUGGAGUUCCACCCUUCCCUCAGCCUGGCAGCACUUAUCCCCAAAGCCCUAGAGCAUCUCUUCCAAGAGGCCUGCCAUGCCUGCAGACCCACAUCAGCCAGUGGCCUUGCCUCCCUGGAACGACAUGUCCUGCAGCUGGCCCUGGACCUGUGGCUCACCCCAGCCACGCCUGAGGCCUGGUACAGUACACAGCUCCAGAAAGAUCUGUUUUCAGCUAAAGUUAUGGGAGAUCCCUUUCUCGUGGGGGAGAUAGGCCUGCUGGCAUUCAAGUCUGCGGCAGACGAAGGACAGAAACAAGGCCAAGACUCUCAUGUGCUGCUCUUGGAGAUGUUUUCCAAACUUCUGGAACUCUUGACCCUCCGCCACCGGCUGAUAGAAAUGAGCCUGGAGAGUGCACACUUAGCUCGGCUCUAUAAAGAAUUGGCAUGGGAGAUGGGUUUUGAAGAGUUCCAUUUGUAUCUGAGGCCUGUUCACUUUGAAUUUGCAUCACACAGGGACAGGGCAGACCAGCCACCUCCUGUCUUGAUAACCUCUCUGCUGGAGGACGGUGGUCGGGUAGACAGAUAUUCUCCUACUGCUCUUGUCUUAGCCGUCUCUGAGGUGGAUGAUAACCAAAUUGGCAAAUUUAGUUUUUACACAAAGGAAGCCAUUCUUAAGCUCUUGUUGCAUUCUGGAGUGGAAAAUAUGCAGGUGACUCUUGCAUGCCAAGCUGCUCAGAAAAAUGCUUUGAUGGUGGCUGUCCAGCAGGUGUACUUCUAUCACACCCCUCAAGGGAGCUGUCCUGCUAAUAUCAAGGUCAGCCGCAUGACAGAGAAGCCAGAGGCAUCUCAUCACUCCCACCAGCUAAUGUCAGGCUGCCCCUUUCUUCCUUCCUUUUUUCCCUUCUCCCUUUCUCCCUUUCUUUCUCCCCUGCCCCCUACUUUCUCUUUCCUAUCUCAUUAUCUUCCUUACUUUCCUUUUUUCUUCCUUUCUUUGUUUUCUGUUUGUGAAUCAAUGUAUGACCAAAUUCUUACUGGAUUUCUUAAUUUUCAGUGAUACUUUUUUCUGUAUUUCUUAUAUUUUGGUUAUUGAGACAUAAUUCAUGUGAUAUAAAACAUAACCACAGGCCGGGCGUGGUGGCUCACACCUGUAAUCACAGCACUUUGGGAGGUGGAGGUGGGUGGAUCACAAGGUCAGGAGAUCGAUACCAUCCUGGCCAAUAUGAUGAAACCCCAUCUCUACUAAAAUACAAAAAAACUAGCCGGGCUUGGUGGCACGUGCCUAUAGUCCCAGCUACUCGGGAGGCUGAGGCAGGAGAAUUGCUUGAACCCAGAAGGCAGAGGUUGCAGUGAGCUGAGAUCGCGCCACUGCACUCCAGCCUGGCAACAGAGUGAGACUCCUUCUCAAAACAAACAAACACACACCACAUUAUAGUAUAUAAUUAAGUGGUUUUUAGUAUAUUCACAAGAUUGUGCAACCAUCAUCACUAUCUAAUUCCAAAACAUUUUUAUCACUCACUCUCAAAAGAAAUGUUGUACCCAUUAGCAGUUACUUACUUUUUCUCUCUCCCCUCAGUCCCUAGCAACCACUAAUCUACUUUCUGGUUCUAUGGAUUUGCUUAUUUUGGACAUUGUAUAUAAAGGGAAUCAUACAAC